GUGAAUCAUCGAAUUUUUGAACGCAAAUUGCACUCCCUGGUAUUCCGGGGAGUAUGCCUGUUUGAGGGUCGUUAGAAUAAAAAACCGAGGCGUCGCUCCUUUUGUUAGGGGUGAUCGUGUCGGAAUUCAGCCGUCUUUCACAUGUUAAUUCAUGUUAAUGUGGCUUAAAAUUCAUCAAUUCGUUACGAUUAUAUCGUACUUAAGAUCAAUUUUGAUUAAGAACGC
RNAcentral lists this unclassified non-coding RNA (225 nucleotides) under Glomeraceae sp. RNAcentral describes it as "partial contains 5.8S ribosomal RNA and internal transcribed spacer 2". The stretch from base 1 to 71 matches the Rfam family "5.8S ribosomal RNA", at positions 84 to 154 of the family's 154-position model. Lineage: Eukaryota; Fungi; Glomeromycota; Glomeromycetes; Glomerales; Glomeraceae. The record is from RNAcentral.